UGUUGCCUCGUCAGCGCCAGUGCUGUCACAGAGUCGGUGUCCCGUUUAAUAGCAUCCUGUGCUCAUGACCUCUUCAUGGGUCCAGAUUAUCACCAAUCUGUUUUUGCCUUGUAAUUUACCCAUCUGAAUGAAUAAAUCAUCAAAUGCCAGGCAUUGCUCCUUCCUCGCCACGAUCCCACUGAACAACCCAUCUUAAUGUACUCUGACAGCCUCAUAUUUGCUGCCUUCUGUGUUUCCUCUGUAUGCUGAAAUGACUGCCCUGCAUCUGAAAAUGCCACAUCAACUCCAUUGUUGUUUGUCAA
RNAcentral lists this long non-coding RNA (302 nucleotides) under Scophthalmus maximus (turbot). Its description in RNAcentral is "lncRNA (ENSSMAG00000026405.1)". Lineage: Eukaryota; Metazoa; Chordata; Actinopteri; Pleuronectiformes; Scophthalmidae. The record is from RNAcentral.